GAAACUGCAGAUGGCGAGAGUUUCUAUUUUUGGUAGAUGAUUCAGUAUGGGUGUUAGUUACCUAUAGUUUUGAUGUUUGUUGUUUGUUAGUCUUUGAGGAAUAGGCUAUCUCAGAGAAACAUCGAUUGAUUAAAAUAAACUGUCUUUCAGUCGCACCCAAACACAAUGCUUUAAUUCAUUUGUUUUUCUUUGUAAGCACCUUCAUUAAUCCAGAAUUACUUCAAGAAUCACAUAAUGGCAAAGCCCUAGCAACAAAUCAACCACACUUUCUAUAAGUAGCAAGAUCCAGGUAGUCAUCAUAAAAGUUGUAUUUGCGUACACAUAAGAUUCAGAAACAGCUAGGUUACAAAUUCCUUGAGCUAAUGGAAAGGUGUUAGCAACAAAUUUGCCUUCUCAAAUAAUAUUCAACCUAUGUUUCACACGUUAAAUUUCAAAAGAAUGACCAAUAAAGAUAUUACAAUCCCCAACGAUAUAUUGCCUUCAACUUUAGCUUUUGCUUGGCUUUUCUGGGUGGUUUAGGCCUAGCAAGUGCGACCGCACCAGUAAUACCUAACCAUUUUUACGAACCACAGCAAGCUGAUUUCUGGGCAGCUUGACUACCUCCAGCUCCUGCAUCUGGUUGAUUAAUCUUGAGCGUCGAAGGCUGCAAC
Molecule: long non-coding RNA, 650 nt
Filed under: Nicotiana benthamiana
Lineage: Eukaryota; Viridiplantae; Streptophyta; Magnoliopsida; Solanales; Solanaceae
Description: long non-coding RNA (NBEN_LNC002739)
Source: RNAcentral